Molecule: non-coding RNA, 168 nt
Organism: Oryza glumipatula
Lineage: Eukaryota; Viridiplantae; Streptophyta; Magnoliopsida; Poales; Poaceae
Source: Rfam
GAUCGGAAGAGGAAGAAAAGAGGGCCAAGGAGCAGUGGGCAUGGGGACAUGAAGGAAUGCUUAAGCCCCUCUCCAAUCCUCAAAUGAGAAUUGGAGAUGGAGUUAUGAGUUUUCCUGAUGCCUCCCAAGCCUAUUGUUCCUUGGUGCUCCUUCCUCUUCCUUUUGUCC